CGAAAUUUCAAACAAAAAGAAGCCAUGGAUGCUGGAAAAUUUCAGCUAGUCAAAUUCCUUGCAUGUAAGCCCCUAAACUAUCAGUUUCUUGUAAUUUUUAUGUUUUUGAUAUCGUUGCAACUAGGUCCAGCUAGUCUUACCUUUGAUUUUGAAACUGUUAAAGAUUCUGAAUGUUGCCAUUGAUGAAUCUUGUGAUUUUUUAUGUUAUAUGAUGAAUUUGGAAUGUUGAUUUGUAUUUAAGAGUAUUUUGUUAAAUGAUUUUGAUGAAUUUUUUUAUUAGGGACUAAUUUGUUAAAUUAAUAAAAGUAUAAGGAUUUAAUGUGAAAUUGUUUCACAAAUGGGCUGUUUUGGAUACCAUGAACAUUCGGCUAAGCUCAAUUCUGGGUAAAAAUGGUUAUUUUUCAUGUUUUGGGCUCAAUGACUAAAUUGAAUAAAAGUAAAACUUUAGGGGCAAUUUUGUAAAGAUGUCAAAAAGACAAAAUUGUAUGAAAUGAAUUGUUUUAUUGUCUAAAUUAAUAUAUUGAAUGAAAUUAUUAAUUUGGAUCAAGAUCGAGUGGAAAAUAGAGGGAAAUAAAAAAUUACCAAAAUGUCCCUAAACUUUGGUAUUUCUACAAUUUAGCCAGGUAAGUUCGUAGUCCUUGAACUCAAACUCUAUUUAUUUAAUUUAAAUACUUAAUCAUUACUUUGAUAUAUUAAUUAUAUUUACAUAUAUGCAAAUGAUUAAAUUAUGAGAUGAGAAAUUGUGUAUUAUGCAUAUAUAUGAAAUGUGACAUUAUGAAAUGAAUCAAUAAGCAAUUAGAAUUUAAAUCGAUAGUAUGGGAAUGCUAUAUAUGGAGAUAUAAUGUGGAAUGAUGAGAUUGAAGUUGAAUAAUGUUGGUUAAUGUAUGGAGUUAAAUAAAAUCUUGUGUUUACAUGCUAGGUAAGUUCGUAAUCUUGAAACUCGAAUGUCAUUUACUUAAUUUAAUUAGUUAAUUGUUAAUUAUUAUUUAAGUAUGUUUUUAUUUGUGUUUGGUUAAGUUCUAUUGAAUGGAUAUUGAUAAAAUCAUAAACAGAUAGAAUGUGACAUUAUGGAAUAAAUUAAUGAAUGGUUAAUAGAUAAUUGAAGUGAAUAUGAUAUUGAGUUGAUUAUUAGAUAAUUGAAGUGAAUGUUGAGUUAUGAAAUGCGAUAUUGAGAUUAUGAAAUGUGAUUUUAUGGACUUGCGAAUGAGUAAUUGAUAUUGUCGAUUCAUCCGACUAGAGCUGGGCUCACUAUUUAUUUCGUCGGUUUAUCCGACUAGCGCUGGGGGCAAAUAUCGAUGGUUUAUCCGACUAGAGUUGGGCUCACUAAUUAUUCAUCAGUAUAUCCAACUAGCGUUGAGCGCAACUUUCAUCAGUUUAUCUUACUAGUGCUGGGCAAACAUUUGUCGAUUUAUCCGACUAGCGCUGGGCGCAAACUCUUUUGUGGAUUAUCCGCUAGGCACCGGGUGUCUUGUAUCAACUGGACUAUACAGCAAGGUUUUAUGAAUCAUCUAAGAAGAAUGGUUAUAGGUAUUACUAAAAAAGAUUAUAUUUACUUAUCUAUAUACAAUUAUUCAUUAGAAGAUAUGAUAUAUUCUUGAGUUAGAUUAUUAAAGUUGUGAAAUAAAUUCAAAUGCUUUAGAUAUACUUGUGGUUUUUCGAAUAAGUGAAGUUUACUUAACGUGGAUUGGUUUGUGCCAUAAUAUAAGUAAAUUAUUGAUUGAUCUAUGCAAAGCUAUUUAUAUAGCAAGUGAUGUGAAUUGAGGUAUAUGUUUAAACCAACUAAAUGUGAAUACUUGUGAAAAUUGAGUAUAGCAUGAAUUAAGAUGAUAAAAUUCAUGAUAUUGAAAUGGUGAUAUCUUGUAAUUGUAUAUUUAGAUAGUAGUAUGAUAGUAUAAUUCAAUUUGAGCAUUCAUGUAUCAUAUCAUGUCUUAAAAUGUUCG
This 1940-nucleotide long non-coding RNA is filed under the name Gossypium barbadense (sea-island cotton). RNAcentral's name for it is "long non-coding RNA (GBAR_LNC003478)". The record is from RNAcentral. Lineage: Eukaryota; Viridiplantae; Streptophyta; Magnoliopsida; Malvales; Malvaceae.